Molecule: long non-coding RNA, 1209 nt
Filed under: Oryctolagus cuniculus (rabbit)
Lineage: Eukaryota; Metazoa; Chordata; Mammalia; Lagomorpha; Leporidae
Description: lncRNA (ENSOCUG00000034771.1)
Source: RNAcentral
AUGCCACGGCGCUCGCUGAGAACGCCUGAGGCGUCGUCACGUGACGACCCGGGGCUGCGUCGCACCACGCCACGCCUCGCCUCGCCUCGUCACGUCACGUCGCACCCGCUCUCGACGCUGCGCCACGCCCGUGCCGGGGCGGAGAGGCGGGGUUCGGAGGGCGCGGGCGGCGCGCCAGGGCUCGCUCCUCGGGCCGUGUGGCCAGGCCUGGUCCGGCACGUGCGGCCAGCGGCCCACCGACGGACUCCCCGGCCAGCGCGCCCGGGGCUGCUUGGAGCCUGCGGUGGAGCCGCCGCCCUCCCAGAUGCAGCGAUUGUUGUGGGCAGAAAGGUAAGUGGGCCGCGUCAGCACCGCCGCCCGAGCCCGCGCGUGCUGAGGCCUCCCGGAGGAGGUGCAGGCGAGAGGGGAGCAUGUCUGGGUGCGCGGCCUCCAGCCCCGCGCCACCCUGAGUGGCACCUGCCUGCUCGUGCACACGCUGGGAGGCCGCAGGUGACGGCGCAGGCGUUUGGCUGGCACCGCUGUGGGAUAGAUGUCACGCGGGCUCCUGGCUUCAGCCUCACCCAGCUGUGGCUGUCGGGCGUGACCCCGCAGGUGAAAGCCCUCUGUGUCUCCAGACGGCCCCCAGCAGAGCCUCAGCUGUUCAGGACGGUGGUGCCUUUCCUCGAACCAGGCCAGAGCAGGACCUGGGAUCCUGGGGCUGCAGGGACCCUGGCGUGUGCCCGGAGCCAGAUGGCGGGUCGGCCGGGCUGGAGGGCGUGGCGCACUCCCGGCGGCUCCUCUGCGGCGUGGGCAGAUGCAGGGGUAGUCCGCACCGGGUGGGCUGGGUUCCGCUGUCUAACCCGGAGAAGCUCCUGGGGCAGGCGCCUCUGUCUCCAGGCGCCCGUUGCUUCGCUGCUGUCCGGUGUGCACCGUGUUCACCCCUCUGUGCUGUCGACACCCCUUUCUCCUGCUGCCAUUCCUGCUUCCAGAGGAGACCUCCUGUGGCGGUUGUCACUUCUGCCGGCAGACGGAAGGAGUCAGGGGCAGCCGUCCUUGUCACUAAGCGGAACUUACAGCCUCUCAGAGCACAGCCCAAGACGAGACGCGACGCCUGCUUGGCGGCGAGGCUGGCCGUUGCCUUCUCUGAGUAACUGCAGACUCACGGGAAUACCAGCUGGGUCGCGAGCCUUGCUCAUCUCGAGGCUUCCUGAAGGCCCGGCUCAUCUCUGA